RNAcentral lists this ribosomal RNA (422 nucleotides) under uncultured bacterium. RNAcentral's name for it is "partial 16S ribosomal RNA". It matches the Rfam family "Bacterial small subunit ribosomal RNA", at positions 360 to 774 of the family's 1533-position model. The record is from RNAcentral.
AAUAUUGGACAAUGGGGGCAACCCUGAUCCAGCCAUGCCGUGCGUGUGAAGAAGGUCUUCGGAUUGUAAAGCACUUUAAGGUGGGAGGAAGGGUUUUAGGCUAAUACCCUUAAGUUUGUACGUUACCAACAGAAGACGCACCGGCUAACUCUGUGCCAGCAGCCGCGGUAAUACGGAGGGUGCAAGCGUUAAUCGGAAUUACUGGGCGUAAAGCGCGCGUAGGUGGUUCAGUAAGAUGGGUGUGAAAUCCCCGGGCUUAACCUGGGAACUGCUUUCAUAACUGCUGAGCUAGAGUACGGUAGAGGGUAGUGGAAUUUCCUGUGUAGCGGUGAAAUGCGUAGAUAUAGGAAGGAACACCAGUGGCGAAGGCGACUACCUGGACUGAUACUGACACUGAGGUGCGAAAGCGUGGGGAGCAAACA